UUACGACCAUAUCACGUUGAAACACCGGUUCCCGUACGAUCAUCGAAGUUAAGCAACGUUGAGCCUGUUCAGUAUCUAGAUAAGUGACCACUUGGGAGUAACAGAUGCGGUA
Molecule: non-coding RNA, 112 nt
Organism: Acanthosepion pharaonis
Lineage: Eukaryota; Metazoa; Mollusca; Cephalopoda; Sepiida; Sepiidae
Source: the annotation of a GenBank genome assembly